CUUUUACAGCCUCAUCUGUCUUCUCCCUAACGAAUCUUCAGAAUGUCUUUUAGCCAUGCCAGGAUUUUGUAGGUGAUAACUUAUCUCUCUUUAUCCAUUCAGCUUUGAAGUUUGCACAUGGGCAUUGUUCACCUCGUCAGGAAGAAUCAGCUUUUCCAUGAAGAAAGGAGUGUGAAGGAUCCUAUGAAACCAGUUGAAAUUUGGACUACACUGUUUUUACUGUGAGCUGCUAAGUUUGGGAGUCUUGUGGACAGAAUCCAGAGUGAGCCACCCCAUGCUUAGUUCAUCAUGUGACCUCUCUUCCAGCACUUUGGAUCUUAGCUUUUGGGCCUGAAGACUAAGAAUGGAGCAUCAAUAAUUAAAGGUACAAUCACAGCUGAAGCUUCCGUUAGUUAUUUUUCUUCAACCCUGACAUUUUAUGAGUCAACAA
Molecule: long non-coding RNA, 430 nt
Filed under: Mustela putorius furo (domestic ferret)
Lineage: Eukaryota; Metazoa; Chordata; Mammalia; Carnivora; Mustelidae
Description: lncRNA (ENSMPUG00000030326.1)
Source: RNAcentral